This is a long non-coding RNA of Cynoglossus semilaevis (tongue sole), 2553 nucleotides long. RefSeq lists it as uncharacterized. NCBI's taxonomy places the organism in Eukaryota, Metazoa, Chordata, Actinopteri, Pleuronectiformes, Cynoglossidae. The transcript has 4 exons. The record is from RefSeq and is a predicted model, not a curated record.
UCAGAAUGCGGAAGUAUCAAAAGUAUCGAUAUUUUGAUUUCAGAAUCGAUUUCAGAGCAUAAAGAUCCAGAAUCGGAAGUAUCGAUAUUUCAGGAUCGAUCCGCACAUCACUAGUCGGCAGACAAUUCCCGCGAAGAGAACGAAGGAUGAGGACAGCGAAAAUUAUGAGUGUUAACAUUUUACUUUGGUAUUUCUUAAUGCCCUUUUCAUUUAGUUUCUUUCUCUUUUGACAUAACCGGGGUGCGCUGUGUUGCCACAGCUUCAGUUUCACAAUAUUUGAGAAUCGUGACGGUGUUCCAUCAGAGGAAGACUCUGAAUGCACAGCCAUUGCUGAUACAGAGGUUACACAGGAGAAUGAGGUAUGAUUGUCCACACUCCAUUUGUUUCUGAAGGCAGCUGUAUACUUAGUUAUGCCUCAACUAGUCAUUAUUGAGACAAAAUUGAACUUAAAGUUGUGAAAUGGUUUGUUUGUAGCAGUUUGUUAUAAAAUUAUGAAUAAAAAUCAAUUUGAGCAAUUUUGCUUUUCUGACAUUGUUUUCCAGAACUCAGACAUCUCCAGUGACAGUAGCACAAUAAUUGUUGACCACUCUUUAAACGAUGAGAUUGUGGACUUAUUUGUACCUGCCCUCAUCAGAGCAGACAGUGUUAUUAUAAGUGUAGUGGUGUGGCCUCGCUCAGCUGAGUGUUCCCGGUUUAUUUUACAUAGAGGACAAGAUAUAGGGUACAGUGGGUGAAGUCGGCAGCAUUGUACUUACCUUUUGCACUUAAGGCUUUUAGAAGUGUAAUAUCUGAUAUAAGAACAAAAGUUUAACUGUGCUCCACAAUUCUGAAAUCUCUCACUUUUUAGGUUAAUGAGAAAAAGUAUGGAUAUGCAGAUGAAAGAGAGGAAUCCCUUUCAAGCUCAGAUUUCAGUGAGGAUGAAUAUCUUCCCAGUAACACAUCAUCUGAUGAAACGGAUGACCGUUCUGCAAAAGUCCACCAUCGCAAGAGUAAGAGAAUACCCCAGAAAACCCUUCCACCUGACUCUGAAGUACAAGUCACAGGAGAAUCUUCUUCAGCUGGUACUCCUGCAGUGACUGUCCCAAUGUUCGAGAAGAAAAAAGGUGGUGGCAGAAUGUACAACAAAAGGUUCUUCUGUGUCUUCUGCUUUAAGUCUGUUGGCAAAAUGGCACGUCACUUAGAAUCCAGACAUAAAAACGAACCAGAGGUGGCAAGAAUACUUGCGUUUCCAAAAGGUUCAAAAGAACGAAGAAUACAAUUUAACUUAUUGAGAAACAAAGGCAACCGUGUCCAUAAUAAUCAAGUAAUUCAAGAAGGAAAGGGAAUGGUGAUACCUCAUCAGCUGUCCAAGACACCUGUAAAGUCUUCUGAUUAUAUGCACUGUGUUAAUUGUGAAGCCUAUUUGAAGAGGACAUACCUUUGGAAGCACAUGCAGCGAUGUCAUCUGAGCAGAAAGGUUGGUACUCUAAAGCCAGGGAAAACCAGAGUACAAGCGCUGUGUGCACAUGCUCAGCCAGUUUCUAACCAUAUAAGUGUAGCCUUUUGGAAGAUGGUAAAUGACAUGAAUGAAGAUGAAAUCAAAUAAUAAACCGCCCUAACUGGGAUUCAAACUUGCCCAGGAGGUGGACCCCGGAGUUCCACACCAAUGACAGACACAUUGCCUCUGGGCCAAAGCGCCACCUGCAUGAAGCAAUGAUAAUAAAUUAAAUUCUUCCAACACUUUUACACUAAAUGUCUGUUUUUCAUUCAGACACAUCCAAAAACCAAAAAAAAAGGAGGUGGCAGGAGGAGGAAGUCCAAGCUGUGGAGAAGACUCUGCUUCACAAAAUCAAGAGUGGGAAGGUUCCAGGAAAAGAUGAGUGUAUGCAGUGUAUUGAGGCCUCGCCUGAUGCUCUUAAAAGAAGGGAUUGGAAGACAGUAAAAUGUUAUGUUAAAAAUCGCAUUGAUACUUUGAAGCGAGCGACUUUAAGGUAGGCCUUGACAUUUUCUAUAUCCCAUUAUAUGGAGGAGGCAAAUUUGCCUUUAAGUUCUUGUUUAAUGUUUUUUAAGAAGCACUUUUGUUGGUCCACUAUCUACAGGAUGCACUAAGUUACUGUAUUGCAUGGAUAUAAACCCUGCGUUUUAUAUACCAUCCACUCAUCCGUCUUUCACAGUGUUACUCUUUUUAGGCUUACAGGGGUCAAUCACAGCUAACAUCAAGCAUUGGAUAUGCCACAUAAAGAGACAAAAACGUUCUAGAGUAGGGAGAGGAGUACCAUUUUGAAAUGCGUCUAGAGAAAAAUCUAAAAUUAUUUUAAUUUUCAUUGAAAUGUUUAUUUUAUAAUUAUUUCUUCAGCAUGACAGCAAUGAAACAGACAACAGUCUGAAUGUCAUCUACCACAAGGGUAAGAAAAAACCCUCGAUACCUCAGUCUGAAGUAAAAGUCACAGGAGAAUCCUCUAGGAGAAUCUUAUAAUAUAAUAUAAUCUAAUAUAAUAUAUAUAAUAUAUAUUAUAUAUAAUACAUAUAAUAUACACUAUAUUACCAAAAGUAUUGGCUCACCUGCCUUGACUC